UUCCACCAAACGUCAUCAGCUGUUUUGAAUGCUGUUUUGAUGCCAUGAAAAUAUUUAGAACACAGUCAGAUUGCAGUUAGAGUCCAUCUUGA
Molecule: long non-coding RNA, 92 nt
Organism: Thalassophryne amazonica
Lineage: Eukaryota; Metazoa; Chordata; Actinopteri; Batrachoidiformes; Batrachoididae
Exons: 3
Source: RefSeq, a predicted model, not a curated record